This is a long non-coding RNA of Pongo pygmaeus (Bornean orangutan), 406 nucleotides long. RefSeq lists it as uncharacterized. The transcript is spliced from 3 exons. The record is from RefSeq and is a predicted model, not a curated record. NCBI's taxonomy places the organism in Eukaryota, Metazoa, Chordata, Mammalia, Primates, Hominidae.
CCUUUUUCCAUCCCUACCUUCCUUCUCAGACUUUCCCCGCCUGGAGCGAGAAGGGCCUGCAGAUACUUGCUGGCAACUCGUGCCUCUGCUUUCCUAUAGAAAGCCAGUCUUGGAGAAAUACUGGUGACGUCUCAUGGAACAGAGGAGCACACUUUUGGAAAUGCUGGGUGAGGGCAUUUUCUGCUUCUAACCAGGAUGGCAUGAGGUUGGAAAACCACACCAGAUGAAGGUCCCCACAGGAUCCAGAACGGGGAUGGGCUCUCGGGAAGUCCCACUCCACAGAGGCGAGUGGGGAUUACCACCUGGACCCAGAAAAGAUGUGAGAAACAUCAGGUAAGUCCAGGCCUCUCUGUGUGCCCUGGAGUGGGUAAAGGAAAAUAGUGAUGAAAUGGUGUCAACCACAGAC